AGGGCUUCUGAUGGAUGCCUUGGCGUCGAGAGGCGAUGAAGGACGUGGCACGCUGCGAUAAGCUUCGGGGAGGCGCGAGCACCCUUUGAUCCGAAGAUUUCCGAAUGGGGAAACCCACCUUAACGGUCUGCGAAUUUUACCAUCGGCUUCGGCCGGCGGUACGGUUCGUAGGGCGUUUAAAGGUAUAAUGACCUGAAUACAUAGGGUUCAUUAAGCAAACCCGGGGAACUGAAACAUCUCAGUACCCGGAGGAAAGGACAUCAACCGAGACUCCCGUAGUAGUGGCGAGCGAACCGGGACCAGGCCAGUGCUGUCGUGACAUAAAGCUGAACGACUUGGAAAGGUCGGCCAUAGUGGGUGAUAGCCCCGUAAGCAUCAAUUAGCGACAGACUCGAGUAGGGCGGGACACGUGAAAUCCUGUCUGAACAUGGGGGGACCACCCUCCAAGCCUAAAUACUCGCACAUGACCGAUAGCGAACACAGUACCGUGAGGGAAAGGUGAAAAGCACCCCGAUUAGGGGAGUGAAACAGUACCUGAAACCGGAUGCUUACAAGCAGUUGGAGCCCCAUAGGGGGUGACAGCGUACCUCUUGCAUAAUGGGUCAGUGACUUAAUCUACCAUGCAAGCUUAAGCCGUUAGGUGUAGGCGCAGCGAAAGCGAGUCUGAAUAGGGCGACUGAGUAUGAUGGAUUAGACCCGAACCCCGGCGAUCUAGGCAUGGCCAGGUUGAAGGUGCAGUAACAUGCACUGGAGGACCGAACCGGUGAAUGUUGAAAAAUUCUCGGAUGAGCUGUGUUUAGGGGUGAAAGGCCAAUCAAGCCGGGAAAUAGCUGGUUCUCCGCGAAAUCUAUUGAGGUAGAGCGUCGGAUGUAUGCCGAUGGGGGUAGAGCACUGGAUGGGCUAGGGCUGCGCGAGCGGUACCAAACCUAACCAAACUCCGAAUACCAUCGAGUCUUAUCCGGCAGACAGACGGCGGGUGCUAAGGUCCGUCGUCAAAAGGGAAACAGCCCUAACCUACAGCUAAGGUCCCCAAGUCAUAUCUAAGUGGGAAAGCAUGUGGGAAUCCCAAAACAACCAGGAGGUUGGCUUAGAAGCAGCCAUCCUUUAAAGAAAGCGUAACAGCUCACUGGUCUAAACAAGGGUUCCUGCGGCGAAGAUGUAACGGGGCUAAAGAUAUGCACCGAAGCUUAGGGUUCAGAAUUUAUUCUGAGCGGUAGCGGAGCGUUCCGUAAGCGGAUGAAGCCGAAGGGUAACCGACGGUGGACGUAUCGGAAGUGCGAAUGCUGACAUGAGUAGCGACAAACAGUGUGAGAUGCACUGUCGCCGAAAGCCCAAGGGUUCCUGCUUAAAGCUAAUCUGAGCAGGGUGAGUCGGCCCCUAAGACGAGCCCGAAGGGGGUAGUCGAUGGGAACCACGUAAAUAUUCGUGGGCCUGAAGAUGUGUGACGGAUCGUGGAAGUUGUUUUCUCUUAUUGGAUUGAGAGGGCAGCCAAGCGGUUCCAGGAAAUAGCCUCUUCACUAUAGACCGUACCCGAAACCGACACAGGUGGUCAGGUAGAGUAUACCAAGGCGCUUGAGAGAAGUAUCCUGAAGGAACUCGGCAAAUUGCCUCCGUACCUUCGGAAGAAGGAGGCCCCAUAUCGACGCAAGUCUUUGUGGGGGGCACAGGCCAGGGGGUAGCGACUGUUUAGCAAAAACACAGCACUCUGCUAAGUCGGCUUCAAGACGACGUAUAGGGUGUGACGCCUGCCCGGUGCUCGAAGGUUAAGAGGAGGAGUGCAAGCUCCGAAUUGAAGCCCGAGUAAACGGCGGCCGUAACUAUAACGGUCCUAAGGUAGCGAAAUUCCUUGUCGGGUAAGUUCCGACCUGCACGAAUGGCGUAACGACUUCCCCACUGUCUCCAGGAUAUGCUCAGCGAAAUUGAAUUCUCCGUGAAGAUGCGGAGUACCCGCGGUUAGACGGAAAGACCCCGUGCACCUUUACUGCAGCUUCAGAGUGGCAUUAGGAAAUUACUGUGUAGAAUAGGUGGGAGGCUUUGAAACAUCGGCGCCAGCUGGUGUGGAGCCAACCUGUGAAAUACCACCCUGUGAUUUUCUGAUGUCUAACCACGCACCGUUAUCCGGUGUUGGGACCCUCUGUGGCGGGUAGUUUGACUGGGGCGGUCGCCUCCUAAAGAGUAACGGAGGCGCGCGAUGGUAUGCUCAGGACGGUUGGAAACCGUCUGCAAGAGUGCAAUGGCAUAAGCAUGCCUGACUGCGAGACCGACAGGUCGAGCAGAGACGAAAGUCGGUCAUAGUGAUCCGGUGGUCCCUCGUGGAAGGGCCAUCGCUCAACGGAUAAAAGGUACGCCGGGGAUAACAGGCUGAUGAUUCCCAAGAGCUCAUAUCGACGGAAUCGUUUGGCACCUCGAUGUCGGCUCAUCACAUCCUGGGGCUGGAGCAGGUCCCAAGGGUUUGGCUGUUCGCCAAUUAAAGUGGUACGUGAGCUGGGUUCAGAACGUCGUGAGACAGUUUGGUCCCUAUCUGCCGUGGGUGUACGAAGCUUGAGAGGAUCUGUCCCUAGUACGAGAGGACCGGGAUGGACACACCUCUGGUGGACCUGUCGUGGCGCCAGCCGCGCAGCAGGGUAGCUAAGUGUGGAAUAGAUAACCGCUGAAAGCAUCUAAGCGGGAAACUAACCUCAAAACAAGGCUUCGCCGAGAGCCGUGGUAGACCACCACGUUGAUAGGCCAGGUGUGGAAGUGCCGCGAGGCAUGGAGCUUACUGGUACUAAUCGCUCGAUCGGCUUGAUC
Molecule: ribosomal RNA, 2790 nt
Filed under: seawater metagenome
Description: bacterial LSU rRNA
Rfam family: Bacterial large subunit ribosomal RNA
Source: RNAcentral